ACGGGUGAGUAAUGCCUAGGAAUCUGCCUGAUAGUGGGGGAUAACGUCCGGAAACGGACGCUAAUACCGCAUACGUCCUACGGGAGAAAGCAGGGGACCUUCGGGCCUUGCGCUAUCAGAUGAGCCUAGGUCGGAUUAGCUAGUUGGUGGGGUAAAGGCUCACCAAGGCGACGAUCCGUAACUGGUCUGAGAGGAUGAUCAGUCACACUGGAACUGAGACACGGUCCAGACUCCUACGGGAGGCAGCAGUGGGGAAUAUUGGACAAUGGGCGAAAGCCUGAUCCAGCCAUGCCGCGUGUGUGAAGAAGGUCUUCGGAUUGUAAAGCACUUUAAGUUGGGAGGAAGGGUCGUUACCUAAUACGUGACGAUUUUGACGUUACCGACAGAAUAAGCACCGGCUAACUCUGUGCCAGCAGCCGCGGUAAUACAGAGGGUGCAAGCGUUAAUCGGAAUUACUGGGCGUAAAGCGCGCGUAGGUGGUUUGUUAAGUUGGAUGUGAAAUCCCCGGGCUCAACCUGGGAACUGCAUCCAAAACUGGCAAGCUAGAGUAGGGCAGAGGGUGGUGGAAUUUCCUGUGUAGCGGU
This 584-nucleotide ribosomal RNA is filed under the name Pseudomonas sp. StFLB032. Its description in RNAcentral is "bacterial SSU rRNA". It matches the Rfam family "Bacterial small subunit ribosomal RNA", at positions 102 to 682 of the family's 1533-position model. The record is from RNAcentral. Lineage: Bacteria; Pseudomonadati; Pseudomonadota; Gammaproteobacteria; Pseudomonadales; Pseudomonadaceae.